UUGAACGCUGGCGGCAGGCCUAACACCUGCCAGUCGAGCGGAUGAAGGGAGCUUGCUCCUGGAUUCAGCGGCGGACGGGUGAGUAAUGCCUAGGAAUCUGCCUGGUAGUGGGGGAUAACGUCCGGAAACGGGCGCUAAUACCGCAUACGUCCUGAGGGAGAAAGUGGGGGAUCUUCGGACCUCACGCUAUCAGAUGAGCCUAGGUCGGAUUAGCUAGUUGGUGGGGUAAAGGCCUACCAAGGCGACGAUCCGUAACUGGUCUGAGAGGAUGAUCAGUCACACUGGAACUGAGACACGGUCCAGACUCCUACGGGAGGCAGCAGUGGGGAAUAUUGGACAAUGGGCGAAAGCCUGAUCCAGCCAUGCCGCGUGUGUGAAGAAGGUCUUCGGAUUGUAAAGCACUUUAAGUUGGGAGGAAGGGCAGUAAGUUAAUACCUUGCUGUUUUGACGUUACCAACAGAAUAAGCACCGGCUAACUUCGU
This 482-nucleotide ribosomal RNA is filed under the name uncultured bacterium. RNAcentral's name for it is "partial 16S ribosomal RNA". It matches the Rfam family "Bacterial small subunit ribosomal RNA", at positions 30 to 506 of the family's 1533-position model. The record is from RNAcentral.